GACGAACGCUGGCGGCGUGCUUAACACAUGCAAGUCGAGCGAUGAAGUUCCUUCGGGAACGGAUUAGCGGCGGACGGGUGAGCAACACGUGGGUAACCUGCCUCAUAGAGGGGAAUAGCCUUCCGAAAGGAAGAUUAAUACCGCAUAAGAUUGUAAUGCCGCAUGGCAUAGCAAUUAAAGGAGCAAUCCGCUAUGAGAUGGACCCGCGUCGCAUUAGCUAGUUGGUGAGGUAACGGCUCACCAAGGCGACGAUGCGUAGCCGACCUGAGAAGGUGAUCGGCCACAUUGGGACUGAGACACGGCCCAGACUCCUACGGGAGGCAGCAGUGGGGAAUAUUGCACAAUGGGGGAAACCCUGAUGCAGCAACGCCGCGUGAGUGAUGACGGUCUUCGGAUUGUAAAGCUCUGUCUUCAGGGACGAUAAUGACGGUACCUGAGGAGGAAGCCACGGCUAACUACGUGCCAGCCGCCGCCGUAA
This 478-nucleotide ribosomal RNA is filed under the name uncultured bacterium. RNAcentral describes it as "partial 16S ribosomal RNA". It matches the Rfam family "Bacterial small subunit ribosomal RNA", at positions 28 to 523 of the family's 1533-position model. The record is from RNAcentral.